RNAcentral lists this unclassified non-coding RNA (279 nucleotides) under plant metagenome. RNAcentral's name for it is "partial contains small subunit ribosomal RNA, internal transcribed spacer 1, and 5.8S ribosomal RNA". The record is from RNAcentral.
UUUCCGUAGGUGAACCUGCGGAAGGAUCAUUAUCGUAUCACUGAGGUGCCGGGUCUGCCCUUGACCCGUUCGGACGUGCACUUCCGAGUGCGCUCCCACUCAUCCAUCUCACCCCUAUACGCACCACCACCUUUAUCGCGGUGGGGCUUGUUCGGAGGGCCGCUCACGUUUUCACACGACCUAUGCAUGCAGUGUAGAAAGUAUUUUUUGUUUUUGCGAUCCCGCAAUCAAUACAACUUUCAAAAACGGAACUCUUGGCUCUCGCAUCGAAGAAGAAAC